GCUGGGCGUGGUGGCUUACGCCUGUAAUCCCAGCAAUUCAGGAGGCUGAGGCGGGUGGAUUGCUUGAGCUCAGGAGUUCGAGACCAGCCUGGGCAACAUAGCAAGUCCCCAUCUCAU
This 117-nucleotide small RNA is filed under the name Pongo abelii (Sumatran orangutan). RNAcentral's name for it is "Metazoan signal recognition particle RNA (ENSPPYG00000038506.1)". The record is from Rfam by way of RNAcentral. Lineage: Eukaryota; Metazoa; Chordata; Mammalia; Primates; Hominidae.